Molecule: long non-coding RNA, 475 nt
Filed under: Mytilus galloprovincialis (Mediterranean mussel)
Lineage: Eukaryota; Metazoa; Mollusca; Bivalvia; Mytilida; Mytilidae
Source: RNAcentral
CACCUUUUCUCUAAGAUUUGACAGCAUACUUAUUUUGACCAUUUGACAAAAAUACAAAAUUUAUAAAAAUUUGAACUUUGCCUGAAAAAUAUCUUUAUAUACAAAGUAAUUUGGAAAACAUUAAUUUUUAUCAUUGAGAGGCUUAUCAAUAGGUUGUGUUUAAACAUUCAGCUGAUUUUACAGAGUUAUCUCCCUGUAGUGUUAUGUACUGCGCAUGGAAAUUUGAACAGGCCACAAAAAGUAGCGUAAAAAAUAACCAAUAUUGAUCUGUUUACUGUGCUUAUCCAGUGACCUUUGGGGUAUCACAUUAGCAAAGACCAAAACAGUUUACCAAAUUGCAGUCAGAUUUCUACUCCAACUAACUGAUCAACUGGUAAAAUAUUUUAGCAGAUUGCUCAAGUGAAAUGUUGUUAGUAUGAAGUGAGUGCUGUAAAAUAAAAAGUUAUACUUACCAUCCAGAUCCAGUCAGUUGAUA